Molecule: ribosomal RNA, 478 nt
Filed under: uncultured bacterium
Lineage: Bacteria
Description: partial 16S ribosomal RNA
Rfam family: Bacterial small subunit ribosomal RNA
Source: RNAcentral
GACGAACGCUGGCGGCGUGCUUAACACAUGCAAGUCGAACGGUAAGGCCCUUCGGGGUACACGAGUGGCGAACGGGUGAGUAACACGUGGGUGACCUGCCCUGCACUUCGGGAUAAGCCUGGGAAACUGGGUCUAAUACCGGAUAGGACCACUGCCUGCAUGGGUGGUGGUGGAAAGCUUUUGCGGUGUGGGAUGGGCCCGCGGCCUAUCAGCUUGUUGGUGGGGUGAUGGCCUACCAAGGCGACGACGGGUAGCCGGCCUGAGAGGGUGACUGGCCACACUGGGACGGAGACACGGCCCAGACUCCUACGGGAGGCAGCAGUGGGGAAUAUUGCACAAUGGGCGCAAGCCUGAUGCAGCGACGCCGCGUGAGGGAUGACGGCCUUCGGGUUGUAAACCUCUUUCAGCACCGACGAAGCGCAAGUGACGGUAGGUGCAGAAGAAGGACCGGCCAACUACGUGCCAGCAGCCGCCGUAA